GAUGAAGAACGUAGCGAAAUGCGAUAAGUAAUGUGAAUUGCAGAAUUCAGUGAAUCAUCGAAUCUUUGAACGCACAUUGCGCCCGUCAGUAUUCUGGCGGGCAUGCCUGUUCGAGCGUCAUUUCAACCAUCAAGCCCCCGGGCUUGUGUUGGGGACCUGCGGCUGCCGCAGGCCCUGAAAAGCAGUGGCGGGCUCGCUGUCACACCGAGCGUAGUAGAUUUUAUCUCGCUCUGGGCGUGCUGCGGGUUCCGGCCGUUAAACCACCCUUUUAACCCAAGGUUGACCUCGGAUCAGGUAGGAAGACCCGCUGAACUUAAGCAUAUCAAUAAGCGGAGGA
This 337-nucleotide unclassified non-coding RNA is filed under the name soil metagenome. RNAcentral's name for it is "partial contains 5.8S ribosomal RNA, internal transcribed spacer 2, and large subunit ribosomal RNA". The stretch from base 1 to 120 matches the Rfam family "5.8S ribosomal RNA", at positions 35 to 154 of the family's 154-position model. The record is from RNAcentral.